This 433-nucleotide ribosomal RNA is filed under the name uncultured bacterium. RNAcentral's name for it is "partial 16S ribosomal RNA". It matches the Rfam family "Bacterial small subunit ribosomal RNA", at positions 29 to 507 of the family's 1533-position model. The record is from RNAcentral.
AACGAACGCUGGCGGCAUGCCUAACACAUGCAAGUCGAACGAGACCUUCGGGUCUAGUGGCGCACGGGUGCGUAACGCGUGGGAACCUGCCCUUAGGUUCGGAAUAACUCCCCGAAAGGGGUUCUAAUACCGGAUAAUGUCUUCGGACCAAAGAUUUAUCGCCUUUGGAUGGGCCCGCGUUGGAUUAGCUAGUUGGUAGGGUAAAAGCCUACCAAGGCGACGAUCCAUAGCUGGUCUGAGAGGAUGAUCAGCCACACUGGGACUGAGACACGGCCCAGACUCCUACGGGAGGCAGCAGUGGGGAAUAUUGGACAAUGGGCGAAAGCCUGAUCCAGCAAGGCCGCGUGAGUGAUGAAGGCCUUAGGGUUGUAAAGCUCUUUUACCCGGGAUGAUAAUGACAGUACCGGGAGAAUAAGCUCCGGCUAACUCCGUG